This 395-nucleotide long non-coding RNA is filed under the name Homo sapiens (human). RNAcentral describes it as "non-protein coding lnc-RPL22L1-4:1". The record is from RNAcentral. Lineage: Eukaryota; Metazoa; Chordata; Mammalia; Primates; Hominidae.
AGCAGAGAGUCUAAGAGAGAGCACAAGCUCAAACUAAAUGUUGCCCAAAAGCAUUUUUCUGAGAUGCUCUUUUCCUAUGCUUCCUGGGGUCUAUCCUGGUCUUUAUGCCUCUUUGUGGCUGCUAGAAUCCCUCUUCUUGAGGAUUUCCUCUGCUUGGCUGCCUCUGCCACUUCUCUUUCUCACCCAUUGCAUCACAUCAAAGAUGCAGACUCUGAUAUAUACCCUAGCCUAAAGCUCUACUUCCCAGGAAUGGGGGCUCCCAACCAAUAGUCUCCCUGACCCCAGAUCACUCUCCAUCAAGCUCCUCCUAGCUUGUUCAAGGCAUCUUGUAGCCCGAAACAGUUGACACAAUAAAGAAUAAUUUUGCUUGGUUACAAUUUAUAAGUGUGUCUUGA